CAGACCCGGUUGAUCCUGCCGGACCCGACUGCUAUCGGGAUGAUACUAAGCCAUGGGAGUCGUACGCCCUCGACCACGCGAGGGCGUGGCGUACGGCUCAGUAGCACAUGGUCAAUCUACCCUUGGGAGGAGGAUAACCCCGGGAAACUGGGGCUAAUACUUCAUAGAUGAGUAACCCUGGAAUUGGGUACUCAUCGAAAGGGUGCAGGGGCAUGUCCCUGUACCGCCUAAGGAUGAGACUGUGUUCCAUCAGGUAGUUGGCGAGGUAACGGCUCGCCAAGCCGAUAACGGAUGCGGGCAGUGAGAGCUGGAGCCCGGAGAUGGGCACUGAGACAAGGGCCCAGGCCCUACGGGGCGCACCAGGCGAGAAACCUUAGCAAUGCGGGAAACCGUGACUGGGCCAUCCCGAGUGCCAGCCGCUAAGGCUGGCUUUUCCCCAGAGUAAGCAUCUGGGGGAAUAAGCGGGGGGCAAGACUGGUGUCAGCCGCCGCGGUAAUACCAGCUCCGCGAGUGGUCGGGACGAUUAUUGAGCCUAAAGCGCUCGUAGCCGGCCCCGUAAGUCCCGUGUUAAAUCCAACGGCUUAACCGUUGGGCUGCAUGGGAUACUGCGGGGCUAGGGAGCGGAAGAGGCCAGGGGUACUCCCGGGGUAGGGGCGAAAUCCUAUAAUCCCGGGAGGACGACCAGUGGCGAAGGCGCCUGGCUAGGACGCGUCCGACGGUGAGGGGCGAAAGCUGGGGGAGCGAACCGGAUUAGAUACCCGGGUAGUCCCAGCCGUAAACGAUGCGGACUGGGUGUUGGCACGGCUUCGGGCCGUGCCAGUGCCUCAGGGAAGCCGUUAAGUCCGCCGCUUGGGGAGUACGGUCGCAAGACUGAAACUUAAAGGAAUUGGCGGGGGAGCACCACAAGGGGUGAAGCCUGCGGCUCAAUUGGAGUCAACUCCGGGAACCUUACCAGGUGCGACAGCAGGAUGAAGGCCAAGCUGAUGACUUUGCCUGACGCGCUGAGAGGUGGCGCAUGGCCGUCGCCAGCUCGUGCCGUGAGGUGUCUGGUUAAGUCCAGGAACGAGCGAGACCCUCACCCUUAGUUGCGACCGCGAAAGCGGGCACACUAAGGGGACCGCCACCGUUAAGGUGGAGGAAGGAGGGGGCAACGGCAGGUCAGCAUGCCCCGAAUCACCUGGGCCGCACGCGGGCUGCAAUGGUGGAGACAAUGGGAUCCGAACCCGAAAGGGGGAGGUAAUCCUUGAAACUCCACCGUAGUUGGGAUCGAGGGCUGUAACCCGCCCUCGUGAACCUGGAAUCCCCAGUAAUCGCGUGUCAUCAUCGCGCGGUGAACAAGUCCCCGCUCCUUGCACACACCGCCCGUCGCUCCACCCGAGCUGAUUCCAGAUGAGGCGAGGUCGCUAAGGCUUCGUCGAAUCUGGAAUCGGCGAGGGGGGAGAAGUCGUAACAAGGUGGCCGUAGGGGAACCUGCGGCCGGAUCACCUCCUA
Molecule: ribosomal RNA, 1491 nt
Filed under: Candidatus Marsarchaeota G1 archaeon OSP_C
Lineage: Archaea; Thermoproteati; Thermoproteota
Also listed under: 1 other name
Description: bacterial SSU rRNA
Rfam family: Archaeal small subunit ribosomal RNA
Source: RNAcentral